This 375-nucleotide ribosomal RNA is filed under the name uncultured organism. RNAcentral's name for it is "partial 16S ribosomal RNA". It matches the Rfam family "Bacterial small subunit ribosomal RNA", at positions 524 to 896 of the family's 1533-position model. The record is from RNAcentral.
GGGAGGGGGGGCAAGCGUUGUUCGGAAUUACUGGGCGUAAAGGCGCGUAGGGCGGUAUGCCAUGUCAGGGGGUGAAAGGGCCUGGGCUCAACCCAGGAACUGCCUUUGAAACUGGCAAACUAGAGUCCGAUAGAGGAUGGCGGAAUUCCCAGUGUAGAGGUGAAAUUCGUAGAUAUUGGGGAGAACACCAGUGGCGAAGGCGGCCAUCUGGAUCGGCACUGACGCUGAGGCGCGAAAGCGUGGGGAGCAAACAGGAUUAGAUACCCUGGUAGUCCACGCCGUAAACGAUGUGUGCUAGACGUUGGGGGUCUUAGACCCUGGGUGUCGUGGCUAACGCGUUAAGCACACCGCCUGGGGAGUACGGCCGCAAGGUUA